GGGAGAGCCCAGCACCGAACCUCGCACCCUCGGGUGUCGCGGAAUGUGGUGUUUAGGAGGACCGUGCGCGCCUGUCCGGUAUCGUCCAAGUCUCCAUGAAUGGGGCCAGCAACCCAGAGAGGGUGUCAGGCCCGUGGGACGAGCCGCGACCGUAGCAUUGGGUCUCUCCUUAGAGUCGGGUUGCUUGAGAGUGCAGCCCUAAGCGGGAGGUAAACUCCUUCUAAGGCUAAAUACGGCCACGAGACCGAUAGCGAACAAGUACCGCGAGGGAAAGUUGAAAAGAACUUUGAAGAGAGAGUUCAAUAGUGCGUGAAACCGUUCAGGGGGUUAAACGGGUGGGCCCUCGAAGGUCGAAAGGUCCCCACUCCCGUCAUCUGUAGGCUGGCUCGUGCUGCUUCCGAUGCCGCUAGGCACGGAGCUCGGUGCGGUUUGCCGGUCUACGGGGGCCGCAAGUUGGGGACCCAGUAGGACUCCGCAACCGUCUGGGAGGCCGUCAGAAGGGUUCUGGUAGGAAGCCUCCUCGUGGGGUGGACUCCGGGAUUUCCGGGCGGUCCUCUCGGCCGUAAACCUGAAUUCUCCCGCCGGUGCUGGGGACGAGCCUUCACGGGCUGUCGGUUCUCGGUUUCCGUUUUGUGGGGGAAGCCGCGGAGAGUAGAGUCGGGUCCCACCCGACCCGUCUUGAAACACGGACCAAGGAGUCUAACAUGUGCGCGAGUCGUCGGGUUUUGCUAAACCCGAAGCGCAAUGAAAGUGAAGACCGUCCUCGUUGGCGUGUCUAGG
Molecule: ribosomal RNA, 780 nt
Filed under: Leptestheria kawachiensis
Lineage: Eukaryota; Metazoa; Arthropoda; Branchiopoda; Diplostraca; Leptestheriidae
Description: partial large subunit ribosomal RNA
Rfam family: Eukaryotic large subunit ribosomal RNA
Source: RNAcentral